AUCACGUUUAAAUAGGAAGCAGAUCUAGACUGUUGAUCGCGUUUAAAUCUGACCGUUCGAUCACGUUUGGGGAGGGAACGCAUCCAAGCUGUCCAUGCACAUGGGAACGGAUUUGGGCCUUUCGAUUUGGGCACGCGGAUCGCCCACGUGGCCUCCUUCGUGGCACCGCGUCAGUGUCCGUUACCACACAGCGCGUUCUAGUUCGUCAGGACUGCUGACCGGGCAUCCUACA
This 232-nucleotide long non-coding RNA is filed under the name Carica papaya (papaya). RNAcentral describes it as "long non-coding RNA (CPAP_LNC001268)". Lineage: Eukaryota; Viridiplantae; Streptophyta; Magnoliopsida; Brassicales; Caricaceae. The record is from RNAcentral.